CCCCCCUCUCCGGCCGCCCCUCUCCAACCGCCGGUCUGCCCCGUGCGGGUCAAUCCAUGCAACCGCCGGUCAUCUCCUUGCGCGGCAACUGCCGAUCGUGGAGAUUACCACCUCCAGCACAAAAUGCUCAAAGCCCCCUCCCCGCCCUUGUUCUCCCCUCGUCUCCCAGUCACCUCUCUCAAAUCCGGCGACUGGACCAGCUGCUGCCGCCACUGGGAAACCUCCGACCACAGAAUAGGUCGGACGCCGCCGGCAGUGGCCACGCUGCUGCGUCGUCCAUCUUGCUCGUCGCCCACCAGAAGACAGGAGGGCGUGCACAGGACGUCUUCCUCCUCCUUACGCCGCAUCUUUGGACGAAGAAGCGUUGGUGGAGGGCGGUGGCUCCAGGGGCAGUGACCAUCGCGACGAGGCAACUGCAGGGUACACGAAGGAGUUCUACUUCCACAACCUGCUGCUCGAAUCCUAUUCCUUCUACUGGUUCAGGAGAUACCUGACCAAGGUUUUCGUUAUUGGCCACAUUAUCUGGAUGAAGUUAAGUUAGCAACAAAGUUAGUAGGGACCCUAUCUCUCUACCGCUGAUAGCCUGCCAAGCAUUCAACAAGAUUCAAGAGGAAGCAAUUCCCAAUCAGGCUCAGCUUUGCCAUGACAAUCAACAAGGCACAAGGACAGACCAUCCCAGUUGUCGGCGUGUACCUACCGGAGGCGGUAUUCUCCCAUGGUCAGCUCUAUGUUGCGUUGUCCAGAGCCACCGCAAAAAGCAACAUUAAGAUUCUCGCUGUCAAGGACCAGGAAAAGAACUAGAACAAGAAUUCAAAGAAGAGGAAAAGAUCCGAGUCCUUAGUUACGACCACAAAGAACAUAGUGUACAAAGAAGUCCUUAUUGUUUGAUGUCAUUGGGAAAAAUCUUAGCAGCUUCCCUGUUGAUCCUUAUAUACCACUUCUGUAAAGGUUGGAGCAAGAAACCCACAACUGUUCUGCAAGACAUUUGAAGAAGCUCACAACAAGCUUGUACUGGCCUCUCAUUUUCAAAAAAUAUUGCAGUCUCUAUUUUUUUGGGAGAUCUUACAAGAUUGUGUCUACUUGUGGAGAUAUACAAAGAAUUGAAUCUGGAGGUGGUUCAAAGAUUCCUGAAUGUCUACAAGUACUGAUGAUGAAGUGUAAUGGAUGCUGCUGAAACCUUCAAAUGCCAAUGGACUCGGUUUUAGCAUCGCUGCUGAUGAUGUUAAGAUUUACGAUUUGCUUUUCUGGUUCUCAUCUUGUGAGAAGGUGAUACAGAAAUUCGUUGUUGAUUAGCUAGAUUAAAAUGUUUCCUCUGUUUCAAAAUGUAUGCGAAGUUUACCACAUGUUUCAAAAGCAACUGUAUUAAUUUGUCAGUGGCA
Molecule: RNA transcript, 1379 nt
Organism: Lolium perenne
Lineage: Eukaryota; Viridiplantae; Streptophyta; Magnoliopsida; Poales; Poaceae
Source: RefSeq, a predicted model, not a curated record